GACGAACGCUGGCGGCGUGCCUAAUACAUGCCAGUCGAACGCUGAAGGAGGAGCUUGCUUCUCUGGAUGAGUUGCGAACGGGUGAGUAACGCGUAGGUAACCUGCCUGGUAGCGGGGGAUAACUAUUGGAAACGAUAGCUAAUACCGCAUAAUAGUAGAUGUUGCAUGACAUUUGCUUAAAAGGUGCAAUUGCAUCACUACCAGAUGGACCUGCGUUGUAUUAGCUAGUUGGUGAGGUAACGGCUCACCAAGGCGACGAUACAUAGCCGACCUGAGAGGGUGAUCGGCCACACUGGGACUGAGACACGGCCCAGACUCCUACGGGAGGCAGCAGUAGGGAAUCUUCGGCAAUGGACGGAAGUCUGACCGAGCAACGCCGCGUGAGUGAAGAAGGUUUUCGGAUCGUAAAGCUCUGUUGUAAGAGAAGAACGAGUGUGAGAGUGGAAAGUUCACACUGGGACGGUAUCUUACCAGAAAGGGACGGCUAACUACGG
This 494-nucleotide ribosomal RNA is filed under the name uncultured bacterium. RNAcentral's name for it is "partial 16S ribosomal RNA". It matches the Rfam family "Bacterial small subunit ribosomal RNA", at positions 28 to 506 of the family's 1533-position model. The record is from RNAcentral.